GCUUGCCGUGCUGGGGUUAGAGUUCUUGAAACAGUGCUAGGAAAACGUGGUGCUAGAUUCCCCCAGGGUCGGCUCCAGCCCACAUCCGUUCACAGCUACCCUGGCAUUCGCUGCCUUCUCCCGAUCUCUCCUAGAACGUCCCAGGCGCGUUCCUGGCGGCAUUGCGCUCUCGCCCUGCCUUCUCCAUGUUUCUCUAGCGCUCUCCCUCCUCACCCGGGGUUUGGAACUAGAGGUGACAGGGGAAGUGGCAUGCGUUAUUUCCGGGCGCUGGCCUACGUCCCCCAACCCCUCCGGUGAGGGUGGAGGAGGUUACGUCGGGUCUGCUCCUCGACGUCCCUGGGGCUGCGGACGCGGGAAGACGGGGUCUCUCCGGCGCACGCCGUUCGCCCUACGCCCCAGUGCUUUGAGCCUUAGGGUGAACGCAGGCGCCGCUGUGCUCACGGACCGUCCGGCCACCAGGGGGCGCCCACCCGGCGCGGGGCUGGGCUGCUUUCUUCCCCUGGACUCGACGAGGGCAGGCGGGAUUGCCUUCCAGAGUGUACCUCCGGCCGGCUGGUUCACAGUGAAUAAAAACACAUUUAUAAUCCUUUAAGCUUCAAGAACCUGUGAUACGUGACUGGAUGGAAUUCCUGGAGAACUGUAUUAACAUGUUUCACAGAGUUGAAUUCUGAGAGGAGGAAUCCCUUGUGUCUGCUUGGAUUCUGCAUGUACUACAGCUCUGAAUUGGUGGCUGCCAGGAAAAUGGAAGGAGAUCGACAGACUUCAACUUUGCAUCUGUUUGUAUGAGGAAUAAAGAAGCACUGAAGCAGAGCGGCUGGCUCUGUUGCACAAGUGCACCUAGCAGAUCAGCAGACUUGAACAGAAACAUUGGUACUUCCUGGAUUCCAGCCUGCCAACCUUUGUACCAGAACUAUACUAUUGGUUCUCUUGGGUUUCCAACUGACUGACUACAGAUCUUGGGACUUGUCAGCCUGCAUAAUCAUGAAGAGAAAAAGAAAAAGAGGUGGCUUGUUGUUUUUGCUGUUUUAGUCUUAAUUUUCUUAAGAAAUGUGAGAGGGUGGGAAGGCGAAGUUAAACUACGUUGGGGACGUAUCAGCACAUGGGUGGAUCUACCUCCUCGCUUGCACGUUUCUGAAGCAAUUCAAGUAUGAAUACAGGAAGAGAAUCAGGAAACAGAACACGCUGACAUUCCCUCUUCUAUUAACCGUAUGGUUAAAUAUGUACUUUUAGUGGAAUUCACUAACUCUACACAGUUUAGUCUACCCUCAGCGGGCAAUUAGCCAUGUUAUAAGCAGUGAACCUGAGACGGAGACCAAACGAUCAUCGGUUUGUUAGUACAGGACUAACGUUUGCCUGUUUCUAGUACACAGGACUUAAGUUUAUCUAAAAUUAUAGACAAGCCUUUCCUAUCAACCAAAUAACCCUCUGUGGGGUUUACAAACAAUUGCAAUUUGGAGUCCCAUUUAACUUGUUCAUGAAGACAAACAGGAAGGGAAAGAAGUGAAAUUCUUAAGACUCUGCAAUGUAAACAGUUGACCAAUGAAGGGACACAGGGCAUUCUAGCCAGGAUCUCCCUGGCCCUCAUACUCUUUCACUCUGUUAUUUUCCUAGAAUUAAACCAGAGUGAAAUUAAUCCAGUUAGCAGGAAUUUAUCUUGUUUCAAGAUUAUUUAAAACAAGGAUGGAAAACUAUACAAAAUGUUUUCCUCGUGGAAAGGCAUUAAACUGAAAAUAUCCAAGUCUCAGCCCCACUUCAACUAUUGGUAAGAACCUUUGAUGGAGGGGUUCGUGGUGGAGAAUUUCAACUGAAAAUAGUGAGACCUAUUCAUUGCAGCUACAGUGCACCUGGAUGAACUUCUCAAGUAACUCCUUCUAACUUAGACUCUCUAAAAGCUAAUAGCUAAGGUAUAGGGUAAGCUACUAUAAAAACAAAACCUCCAACUACAAUGGAUUCGUAAAUGUAGGAAUUUAUUUCUCACUCACAUCAUAAUGCAAAGGUAGGGGAGCAUUUAGAGCAAGAAAUUGGCCCUUUAAGUCUCAUCCAUAGCUACACCUUGUGGGUUCAAGGUGGCUAUUAUAAUUUUCAUUGUCUUCAGCUAGCAGAAGGGAUGAAGGGACCUUAUGACAGCUGUUUUACAGGAAAUAUUUGGGAACUUAAUAUACAUUAUACCCUUAUCCUUUGCUGAAAGAUCACCCCUAGCUUUCAGGGAUAUUGCAAAAUAUGUUCUUUGGGCGAGCAGCCAUGUGCUCAGCUUCAAGAUUGGGGAAGGUGAGAAGAAUGGCCCAGAGGUCAUUCAGUUUUCUGCCGUAGUGCCUCAUAAAGUCACUGUGAAGUUUAAAUAAGUUCAUAUAUAUAUAUAAAAAUGCUAAAUUAUCUGCAAAUGAGUUAACACUCAGAAAAUAGAGCGGCAAAUUAUGCACAGAUUCCCAGUUACAUGUCAUUUCAUUUCCAAAAGCAUUUGCUUUAUUCCUUUGAGAGGACAACAGAAGUUUUCUCUAGAGAAAUCAUAAACACAAUGUAGCCCUAUAUCUAAUCCAGGAUUACAUUUGAAAAAAAUCCCCAUAGGCAGGUCAUGAGAGUUUUUAAUUUAAAAAAAACAUUUGUGUUUGUGAAGCAAUAUUUUUUUUAAAAAUUUGUCAUAAAGUUCUGAUUUUAAUGAUUUUAGUGGCCUUAAAUUUUCUUUUUAGGCAAUGGCAGUGUAAGAGUGGAGAAGGUUGUUAGAGAGCCUCCUCACUGUGGCUUGAUGUGAUAAAUAAUUUGCUCAUAGCAUGCGUGCCCGCUUAUUUCACCUCCAGCUUACUUUUGGGGCGACUUUGUUAUCAGCAGUAAUAUAUCCUGAUCAUUUUAAGUCUGUAAGGAAAUGGAUGAUAGUCUCUUUUCAAAAAAGAUUGAAUGGCCCUUCUUAGACGGUUCUAAGUACUGCAGCAGCUUCUUAAAAUUCUUCUGUCAUAAUUAUCUAUAUAAAUGUGAAUCUUUUGUAUCCAUUCCUUCACUUUUUAUUCUCAUUUGUUUUACAAGUGCUUGGCAUAUUGUUUUCAAAGAAGGCUACAGUUCCUCCCACCCCACUAGCCCCUUAGUGAUGUAACUUUAUCACUCUUACUAUCAAGAGAUGAAAUCUCUUUCCCUUCCUCUUGAACUGUGCCGCCGGUCCUGUGACCAGCUAUGACCAAUGGCGUGCAACAGAUGUGACACUGUGUGAUUUCUGGCUCUAAGUCUUAAGAAGUCUUGAAGUUUCCAUUUUCACCCUUGGAAGGAUGUUCAGCCUAGACUACCAACUGAUAAAAGCAGACUAAAACUACCAAGUGCAGACAAAGGUCAUCUGGAGGACAACUUCCAGCAUGAGCACCCAAAGUAUGUGAGUGUGCCAUCUUGGAUUCUUCAGCCUCAGUCAGGUCCCCCCAGCCAACACUGUACAGAGCAAGGGCCAAGAUUUCUCCUGUGAGUCUUGCUCAAAUUCCUGACCCACAGAGUGGUGAGCAGUACAAUGGCUGCUGAUUUCAGCCACUGAGUUUCAGAGCAGAUUGUUACACAGCAAAAGAUUACUGAAAUUGUCUUUUCUUCUUCUUGACAUUACACUGUUUUCCAGAACAGGAACCAUGUUCAGUGAGUUUCUUGAUGUCUCUUCACAAGGCAAUGUAUUGGCUGCACAAUAGCUAUAACUGAGUGAAUUAAUUCCACAUCAUAUGUCUGGAGAAACUUUCUCAAGAUUCAGGUGAUAAAGUUCAGUGACUGUUAGUGUGUUUUGGAAAAGCAUCUUUGUUAUAAUUUGAUAUUUUAAUGCAUGACCUUACAUAAGUCAGUGGAUUGCUUGAGGCCUGGGUGCUAUUAAUCAAGGUCUCUGAGCACCAUCACCUUGAAAUUUCGUGAAACCACAAUCCUGUGAACAGCCCCAGCUAGAGCCACUAAUAAAAUAGAGAAUAAAAAUAGGUAGAUAUACAGCAAUGGAUGGAAGGUUGUAAAUUUACCCAUGCUGAGUUUCAAGGCAGUUGAAUUUAUUUGUUCUGAAUUGUGUAUCUUGGCUUUCUAUUUUAGAGUAAAAUAAAUAAUAUCAAAUAAAGCAAAGCUGAA
Non-coding RNA from Vicugna pacos (alpaca), 4068 nucleotides. Lineage: Eukaryota; Metazoa; Chordata; Mammalia; Artiodactyla; Camelidae. The record is from RefSeq and is a predicted model, not a curated record.